UUACUGCGCCCCUGACGGAACCUAUAAUUGGAGACAAGCGCGACGUGCUGAAAAUAACCAGGUUAGCACUUAGUACCGGUCCAUUUUGGGGAGGGCCCAACAUGAGGGCGCAGCAACAAAGAUCACCUCCUUCCAGCUGUUUGGGAAUAUCUUGCUCCCAAUCUCGAGGCUGCUGCAUGACUGUGGCAGCAACCUUUUCUCUCGUCUCCGUCUGUCCGUAAUGGAUACUGGGUCACGGAUUGGAGGAGUGCGCGUGGUGGUGGUGGUGGUGCGGGGGGUCUCACGGUGACAAACGCAGAAGCCGUUUUUUUUUUUUUUUUUUUUAGAAGGGGAGUGCAGAAGGAGGUGGGAAAGUGGCACAGGAGCGACACUGUUGCAUGUUUUUCCUCAUUGGAUAGAGGCUGAACGAUGGGCCAGAGGGGACUGUCCGACUUCUUCCACAAUUCGCCUCCCCCGCCCCCCUCCUCCCCCAAAGGGAUAUUCUUACUCAAUUUGGGAUGCGUGCAACACCAAGUGAUCACACAUAUUACUUGGGCGGCGGUGCUGCUGGAGCUGGCUUUUGGCUGCGAUGGACGGCGAAGUUUCACUUGCAGGUCUCGUGCAGGCGGACACGCGGCCAUCCAGACUAUCGGUGCCUUUUGCGCGCGUGUUGCGUGGGGCCCUCCGGUUGACUGCGGCGAUGGCGACACCUGUCCCGGACACAGCAGAAGGAUCAACUUGCCAAAGACGUGGACCCACAAGCAAAACUCACCAAACCGACCUGCAGCGGCCUCUCAGUAAGGCGUUCUUGUGAAUACUUCCUCCGCGUGACAUGGACCCAAGCCCACAACCGCCAGAGGAGCCGAGCUGCAGAGCGCCUCUGAGCCCUGCUGAGACCUGCCAGGCUCACUAGCUCUCCCUGCCAGAGGCCUCAGCUCCCAGUCAAAGUGAGUUACAACCCAUGCUUUUCACGCACACAGUGCCGUGCGUGUGAGUGUGUGCACGUAUGUGUGUGUUACAACCCAUGCUUUUCACACACACAUAUGUGCACACACUCACACACGGGCAGUGUGCAGGCAUGCAUGUGCGUGCGCAGGUGAGAGACAUCAAUCAUUCAAAUGACAUUAUAAACAAAUAAUAACUCAAAAAGAAAUUGAAAGUGAGCCUGCAAAUACAUAUUAUUAUUUAAUGAGUUAUGAUUCAUCUGUAAGAAAUAUUCCUUGUCUGUUCGACCGAUUUUAAAUCUUCAACUUGUCUUUUAUUCUUGUGUUUGAUUUGGAGCCGACACACAUACCACCCCACACACAGACUAUGUGGCAUUUGGAGUCAAAAUAAAAGUCUGUGUGCUGGCAUGCAAGCACUAAAGUGGUUAUGUCCUCCACCGGACGGUGUAGCCCUGGAAUCAAGAUCUGAUUCAGCUGGACUGAUCCUUCUGGGUAAACAUGAUGAUUGGGAAAUGUGUUCAUUAAGUGUUUACCAGAACCUGCGUGGAUGUGAGGCUCAGAGCGCCAUGAUCAGCAGAGGGCAGAGACACAGUACAUGACAUUACAGCCAAACGGUAAGUAAGAAGAACGCGAUCUGAUGAGGUCCUUUAAAAAAAAAAAGAAUUCUCAGGAGCAAUUAAAUCCUUUUUUUUGCUUUUUACAUUGAGGAGGAAAUGUUUUUGCUAAUUUACUCUGUGUACAUGUCAUUUCUAUUGAUUGCAUGAUGUUGAAUGGUUAAAAAUAAAAUUGAAAAUGUUUUUCUUUUCUUUUGAAAAUAAAGUAGUAGGUACCUGCACAAAGAAAAAAACUAAUGAAAAUGUACAGACAGUUUAGGAUUUCCAGCUACAGAUUCAAAGGGGUUUUGUUAGGAGUUUAUUAGAAAUCUGCUGCAGUGUCUUUCUGAUGUGACAAAAACUGAACACUUCAAGGACAUUGGUUUCUCAUUCUUAUUUAAAAGUCUGUUAGAAGCUGAUUUAUCAGGGAGAAUGACUUAAUUUUGAGGGGUAUGUGCAAGACUGUUGUCAAAAUAACCAAAAUACAUUUUAGAGAUUUCAUUGAGAAGUUAAAUAUAUCCCUUUUAGGGAAAUUCUUUUUGACUUUGCCACCUCAUGAAAGCAGCAUCAGGAUCCUCCUUCCUACGUUCAACAGCUUUGUCCAUAUAUUAUUUAAUAGCUACAACUAUAGAGACAAUUGAAACAGCAUUUUGUAUUUAACAUAUUCUAUGUUUUUAAUUUUGUUAUUCAUUUAUGUAUGCAUACAUCUUGUUUAUUCAACUUUGACCUCUUAUGAUUUUAGCCCCAGUGUUUCCCUGUGCGGAUCCUUUAUGCCAGGGCUUGCCGGCUUGGCCUGUGGUUGUUGCCGCGGUUACCGCCCUUCUGGGCCUGGGGUGUCCAACUUUGCUGCCUGAUGGUUGUGGAGUGGACCCUAUUGCUGUCCCGGUCUGGGUGGGCACAGUGGCGAUCCUCCUGUGGCUGAGCUGGCUCCUGUUAUGAAGAGAUUCCCAAUAUGCAGUUUCCUCACAGCAGAGCCAAGCCUUAAGUUACUUUUAUAAGUAUUCAUUGUGUGUGGGGUUAUGGGAUGUACGUGUUAAUGGAGCGGAGGGGGGAGGGUAUAGGGUGGGUUGGGUUUUUUUUUUAUGAAUCUCUCCUCAUUCAGAUAACUCCGUUUUUUGGCUGUCAGUGAGAGAAUUCACUUGCCUCCACUGUCCUGCAUGCGAGUUAGUUAUCAGUUGAAGUUGCAUACAUUAAUAAUUGUAUUUUGUUUUGUGUUAUGUAUUUGUUUGAACCAUUUCAUUGUCUGUUGUAGAGGAAGAAAAACUGAGGCUGGAUUGAGCAACAUUCCCAGAGUUACAGAUUCAGAAAUUAGACUUCUUAGAAUUAAAGAAAUAAGAUUUCCUCCCAGUCUGUGAAUGCAGCUUUAGCAAGAGUGGCAGCUCUUUGCCAAAACUCCUCUCCCUUGGAUUGCAGCGCUUCAGCACUUGUAUGUUGCUGCUCAGCGAAAACAAAACAAAUCCUGGAUGGAACAAGUUUCUUUCCUUCCUUAAGCAAAUUAAACGAUUAGCUUUUAGUUUCCUGCAUGAUUCUGUUAUGCAGAAAUUCCUUUCAGAGGAACAAUCAUAAUCAGUAAUGGCAAUUUCUACAAUUUUUCUACUGCUUUUUUUUUUUUUUUAAAUAAAAGUAUUGAUCUUAAGCUGGUUUUUUGUUUUCAUUUUUUGUGAAACACUGUUUUUCUCUUUCACUUUCUGUUUCCAAAGCAUUUUGGGAAAAAAAGGAAUUUUGCAGCUGGAUGAUACCCAGGUUCCUGCUUGGAAAUAUUCAGUCCAAAAGGAAAUGUAUGAACAAGUCAUUUUGGCUCUUUGCAUCAGCAGUGAUUUUCUUGCAAAAAAAAAAAAUAAUGCUACAAUAACCCAUUUUAAAAUAAAAGUAGCAAAAACUCUUCACAAGUUUGUCAUAAAGCUGCCAAAAAUGAUUGUAAUUCUUGUAAUUCCAGCGCAUUUACAACACUGAAGUACACUGAUGUUGCACUGAGUCGAAUAUGUUACAGCGACUUUUUAUAGAUUUGACUUUUUUUUAGAUGGUAUAUAAUAAAAAUGUAGGUGGGCUGCCAAAUAUUGUUCCAGGCCAUAAUACUCCUUAGUGUUCAGCCCAAGAGAACCUGGGUGCUAAUUCUUUUCUGGACACGUGCAAAGUCUGCCAGGAUGCAUGGACCCUGCAUUACAUGUAGACAAGCAGGGGGGGGGGGGGGGGCUGGAAUCCACACAAUGUUUUAAAAUGAUUUGAUCCAUUUUGUAGGGUGUCUGCGUGUUUUUGCAGCUGUAAAAAAAUUAAGUUCUUGCAGCAUUUUUCUCAGUAUGAAGAGCUGGAAAUGAAUCAUCAAAGUCCAAACUAAGCUAAGAUGUUAAAUGCAUUGUAGAUUUUAUGACUUAUCUAUAAAAUAAAGUUGCAGUCGGUUUUUUGCUGCCUGAACAUUUAGCAGACAGGAAGAAAGACUGAUUUUUUUUUUAAGUAGUCUAUUGCGUGCAUGCAUGGACUGCCUUAGCGUUUAUAGAACACUGAUCUGGUCCAGAGAGUAAUAGAAUGAAGCGUGGGUGUGGAGGAAGAUUCCCCUGGAGCAGAUUUAAGGUCUUCAAGUACUAAAAAGCCUUGACCCAUGCCCUGCUCACCCACUCACAGGGACCCUGCACCUUCUCUCCAGUCAAGAACGUGCUGUAAACAUGUGGAAAGGAGAACUACACAACUGCUGAUUGACCCAAACACACACAAAAAAAGAACCACGCAAAAAUAGACAUUUUUUGACAGAACCCAUCCUUGUUGCUUGUCUUGUAAUGAGGAGCACAUGACUGGGAUUGGGUGUGGUGCGUGAUCUCUUAUCGAACAAAAGCGUCCCACAGAGGGGCUGAUGGGGGGGGGGGGGCUCCGUGCCACCCCUCCAGUCCUGUUUGUCUGCAGUCAUGAGUUCUCCAUCCCGUUCACCACGCCAUGUCUCGUGGUUCAAAGUCCAUAAAAAAAAAUCCCCUGCUUUUAAAACAUUCAGGCGUGGCGGCGCGUUGUCAAUAAAUCAGCAACUCAGCCCGAAGAGAGGAGCACUUAAAUGGGGCAAGGUCAUGUUUUUCAAAAGCGAUGAAUUGACUUUUUUUGGCUGCUUUCUGAAGUUGUGUCACUUAAAGGGUCCAAAGUAUCUGUUUGGGCCAUGAGAACUAUCUUUCUCUGCAGUCAUGCUGAGACAAAUGCAUGCAAGUCAAUGCAAGUCGAUUUCCCCUUUCGGGUUGAGAGUCUGUCUAUUUUUAUUGUGCUGCUCACAGUUUAGAUGUCAAAAGGAUGUCAACAUCUGCAGGUUCAGGUCCCAGGCUGUUCCGAGUCAAAACCAAAAAUUACUGCUUCAACACAAGAGCUGUCCAUCAGAGUUACACUCCAUCACAACUCAGAUUCAGUGACAACAUUUGCUAUUUUUAAUGGCCAAGCCGUUAAAGUGCUUCUGCAGGUGUGUUAACUUGGCAGUCAAGCAACAACUGAAAGCGGGGAGGGAAAGUGAAACCAAUAUGGUAAACCGGUAUAUAUGAGUAUAUAUGUCUGCAUGCAUGUGUCUGCGUAUCCCAUCACAGAGCCGUGACCUUAACAGACACUGGCUUAAGGCAGCUGUCCUCUGAGGGCUCUCUAAAAGUGAAUGUUUGCAACCAUAAGGUUAAAUGAAGAGUUUUAAGCACAAGUGAAUGAAAAAGGGACAAAUUGUCUGGGUGCAGCUCUGCAUCAAAACAAAGAGAAAAGUUUUGAACUCCAUGUUUAUAUGAAUGUCAAUGAACAGGCAGAUGUGAAAGCUGCAAAGAGGAAUCUUUCAAAGUUCAAUGGAAAUCAAUGUGUAAAAAAAAUGAAAAAGUUGUUUCUGAAGAGUGAUGUCACAUGUUUUAAAUUAUGUACUAUUU
Oryzias sinensis (Chinese medaka) is the source of this 5382-nucleotide long non-coding RNA. Lineage: Eukaryota; Metazoa; Chordata; Actinopteri; Beloniformes; Adrianichthyidae. The record is from Ensembl.